This 737-nucleotide ribosomal RNA is filed under the name uncultured bacterium. RNAcentral's name for it is "bacterial SSU rRNA". It matches the Rfam family "Bacterial small subunit ribosomal RNA", at positions 94 to 820 of the family's 1533-position model. The record is from RNAcentral.
AGAGGCGAACGGGUGAGUAACACGUAUCCAAUUUGCCCCUAAGUGGAGAACAACUAGAUGAAAGUUUAGCUAAUACUCCAUAGGAUGUUCAAAGGCAUCUUUGAACAUUUAAAGGUGGGUUUCCACCGCUAAGGGAUAAGGGUGCGCAGUAUUAGCUAGUUGGUGAGGUAAUGGCUCACCAAGGCAAUGAUGCUUAGUUGUACUGAGAGGUAGAACAGCCACAAUGGGACUGAGAUACGGCCCAUACUCCUACGGGAGGCAGCAGUAGGGAAUUUUUCACAAUGGGGGCAACCCUGAUGGAGCAAUGCCGCGUGAAUGAUGAAGGUUUUAGGAUUGUAAAAUUCUUUUGUUUGGAAAAAAAAGAAGAUAUAGGAAAUGAUGUCUUUUUGAUGGUACCAGACGAAUAAGCAACGGCUAACUAUGUGCCAGCAGCCGCGGUAAUACAUAGGUUGCAAGCGUUAUCCGGAUUUACUGGGUGUAAAGCAAGAGCAGGCGGUUUAUUAAGUCUAGGGUGAAAUAUUAUUGCUUAACGAUAAUAUGCCUUAGAAACUAAUAAACUAGAGUAUGGUAGGGAGUUUUGGAACUCCAUGUGUAGCGGUGAAAUGCGUAGAUAUAUGGAAGAACACCAGUGGCGAAAGCGAAAACUUAGGCCAUUACUGACGCUCAGUCUUGAAAGCUAGAGUAGCAAAUGGGAUUAGAUACCCCAGUAGUUCUAGCUGUAAACUAUGGAUACUAAA